Molecule: ribosomal RNA, 487 nt
Filed under: Enterobacter hormaechei
Lineage: Bacteria; Pseudomonadati; Pseudomonadota; Gammaproteobacteria; Enterobacterales; Enterobacteriaceae
Description: bacterial SSU rRNA
Rfam family: Bacterial small subunit ribosomal RNA
Source: RNAcentral
AUUGAACGCUGGCGGCAGGCCUAACACAUGCAAGUCGAACGGUAACAGGAAGCAGCUUGCUGCUUUGCUGACGAGUGGCGGACGGGUGAGUAAUGUCUGGGAAACUGCCUGAUGGAGGGGGAUAACUACUGGAAACGGUAGCUAAUACCACAUAACGUCGCAAGACCAAAGAGGGGGACCUUCGGGCCUCUUGCCAUCGGAUGUGCCCAGAUGGGAUUAGCUAGUAGGUGGGGUAACGGCUCACCUAGGCGACGAUCCCUAGCUGGUCUGAGAGGAUGACCAGCCACACUGGAACUGAGACACGGUCCAGACUCCUACGGGAGGCAGCAGUGGGGAAUAUUGCACAAUGGGCGCAAGCCUGAUGCAGCCAUGCCGCGUGUAUGAAGAAGGCCUUCGGGUUGUAAAGUACUUUUCAGCGGGGAGGAAGGCGAUAAGGUUAAUAACCUUGUCGAUUGACGUUACCCGCAGAAGAAGCACCGCUAACUCC